CAUGUGCUCGUGUUUCUGAUUGGCCUAUUUCGAUCCACAACUGGGUAUAUAUAUUUCUUAGCGCGUAGAGUUUUCGAUCUAUGUUCUGACGUUUUAAACUCUGAAGAGUGUCAGACGAAAAGCUUUAGUUUACUAAAUGUUUGCUUUUUUCAAAGCCGUGUAUAAUUUACUUAUAAAAAUAUUGUCUUUUCCAUUUGAAGGCAAUGUUGUUCCACUUUAUACACAACUCAAUAUACUUAUUGCUCGCCUUGUUGGCUCUUUGGAAAUACUAAUUUCCCAUUGCACUAAUGCACGUCUGUUUGUGGCCUACUUAAGACAACUGCAUUAAGCAUGAAACUCAAAGUUGCAACUUUGCACCGCCCUGUUCUAUAUUAGAUGGUAUCGAGCACUAUGUGACAGACUUAUUAGCACAAACUUGAUUAAGUGACAUGAUAUAUCUUCCUUGAUAAGUAAGUUUGAAUGAAGCCACACCCUCACUUGUAUCUAUUAUGCAGACUUGAUUUCAAAAUUUUGCUUCUUCAGUGCUAAAAAGCAUCUAUGCUCAUACCUGCAAAAUGCAAAGUGCAUACAAAAUUCUAAUCUAGCUGCGGUGGGGCGUCUUCCCACCAUUUCAUAGAUUACAUUUUUCCUAUUCAUUCUACCAAAUGCUCUUGGAUGAAUGCAUCGAUAAAGUUUUCAUUAAUUAAUUAUUACUAGUUUCGGUUGCAUUUCUUUCUCUUAAAUCGACUAUUUAAAAUAUUCACCACUAAGGUACCUAUUUACAUCACAAGCGUAAUCCUUGGAACUUGGAUACGAUUAUUCAGCAUUUUGUAUGGGGAGGUUUUAUGCACGAAUUCCAGUUUUCUGUCAGAAAUGAUACCGCAUGAUUGGGUGUGCUUAGCCAUGGCUUAAUUUUUCUUCUGCAUUUGGUUAUGGGUUGCAAGAGAAUUUGGCUUUGUUUCUGGGAGAUGGCAACUUGAGAUACAAAAGACACGACAUCUUGUUUUAUGUAGUCCAGAUCCGAGAUAGCAAAGAAAGAUGACAAGACACACGCAACAGAUGUUUAUGUGUGAUCCAGUGAACCUUUUCGUUAAUAGUAAAGUUCGAUAUUUAUUAUAGAAAGACCCUCUGCCAAUUAAACAGAAACACUAUGCCGAACCGAUCGCACGGAACAUUUCCGCGUUUCAAUGAGAAUGGCACAGAACACACAUCAUCGCAAAUCAUCGAGAAAACGAGUCAGGUAGAUUCGCCGGAUUGCGAGGCCAAUAUUCAUUUACCGCAUAUACGCAACGACACACCGGGAAAUUCCAAGUCGGAACGAAAACCGGGAAGAUUUUUCAAAUUUUCAAAUGAUAGGAACAGUUUUACAGAGAACUUGCUGUCGUUUUUCACAGGAAGCAAGGACCGUGGAAACCAGCAGAAAACAACAGACUCAGAAAAACCCAGAACUGCAGCAGCAAAGGAGAGCGGUUUACGGAACCGGACCGAAAACCGUCACGGCGUUGUAACGAGAAACGAGCGAAGCGCUCGGUCACACGUAACACACAAUAAUCUUCAGAAACAUCCACUUCAGAGAACUGAUAAACCGCGAAUAACGGCCUUGACGAAAAACGACUCUUUUAGGCCGGUUACUGGACGGUCUCGCACACGUGCUUCGAACGGGGCAGUUGCGAAAAAGGACAACGAUAGCGACAUAGGGGGUUGCGAGAACAUGUACAAGACGAAGCAACCGCCCGGAAAAUUCAACGUGCCGCGGAAACGAUCGCUUGAAAUAAGCGAAUAUAUUCGCAGAGAGAAUUAUAAAUAUAACGAACGCACCGCGAAGCAGUUCUUGUUUCAAAAAUGGCUACGAAGCACGGAAACAGAGCUGCCUGAACACUAUCCAAUUGAACACAACGACACAAAAUUAUCAAAAUAGUUUGUUAUGUAAAUAGUAUAAAUUUUACUUCCAGAGUAGGUUGGUGUUGGGUAUUAUAAACCAGUUUCAUGGUAAUUUGUUAUUCAUAUUGCUAGAAACAUAAGACUGUUUUUCCGUCAAAAUUUCUCUAUGCAAAAAUUUGUUUCUUUCGAAUGCAAAGUUGGAAAAAGAUUGAAGUUGUUGAGGCGGGAAGGGACCCUAACCCUUUGUCCUUUCUGGUCCUUCAUUUCUUUUUUUGUCCUUUUUUCAUUUAUGAUUUUUCCCCUAUUCAGUUUCAAAUUUUUGGGCUGCAGUUGGGUAUUGGGGUAAGGGGGUUGUAUCCUUUUUUGGCCAUAUAUGAAUUCUUUCUGGUCCCCCCACCUCUUCAAAGGGGUAGCACUGUAUAAGGUAACCUUACCUUGGGCCUGAUCGUGUUACGCCAUUUUUAUAUGCUUAUUGAGUAUUUGAGACUAAUUUUAUGCUUACAUCAUGCUUAUUUUAUUAGUUCCAAGAUGCAUUGAUUUAUCUCAUUACGGGCAAACUCUCACGGCUGAACCCUUCAAUCGUUGCCUGAUAUGCUAAAUUGACCGCUCCUCUUUAUAACUUUUCUUUGUGCGUUUUACACAUUAAUUUGAUAUUUUUGAUCUAAGGAUGGGAAUGUGUUUCUUACGUUUAACCAACAUAACAAGGAUUGCACAUUUUAAGAAAUUUCGUUUUAUUUAAUUGACUAAAUAAUUUCCUUCUCGGGUACUGCUCUUUUUUCAUGCACGUAAAUAAAAACAAAUGAAGUGGAUCAUACAGAGAUUUUCGUACAAACUUUCAACAGAAUUUUGCGUUCGCAAACUUAACUUUUUUCUAUGAUACAAAAACCCUGUUUACGUAUGAUGCUGUCACGUAACCCUCUCUUCUUUAUUAGAUGAAUUCUCAAGCAUUACACCUUUGGGGUACGCUAUCCAAUAAUCAUACAGUAUAUAAAAGUUUAUCAUAUGUACCUCGAAAGCCGAAAAACCCAUAUUAGCAACUGAUAUCAAAUUAGUAUUUCGGACCAGGAACCCACACAAGGUGUAACAGGCAUAACUUUAGGUGAAUUCGGAGAAAUUUCUACGUGCCUAACAAUUUUCAAAACAUCCAUCUAAUUUUUGAAGAGAAAUCCUCUCUACCCUUUUGGAUAGAAAAGUAUUCCUAUGUUUCUUAGGCAUAAUUCUUAUUGAAUCCAAAUCUUCUACAAAAGUUAUUUCAAUAUUUUUUUUAUAGCUUCCCAAAAAUUUUGUCAUAUUUAGUUUUAGUUUGUCUUCAGUCCAUCAUCAGUUUGUCUUCAGUUUGUUUUUGACAAUUUUAUAUCUUUUUCCAAUUUUUUUAGUCUUGUUAAAGUUAAGGAUUUGUUCUGACAUCACAAACAUAACUGAACUGGAUAUUAAGAUUGACUCUAUCCAGGUUAUCAGAAAAUAGGAACUGGAGACACGAGUUUGCCCCCCUCCUCAAGGCUUUUAUACGUGCUCUCUCAGGGGGAAAAAGUGCCCCUAUUCAUGUUGUAUUUUUACUUUCACAGUGCCUUUUUGCUAAAGUUUUGGCUGACUGCUGAUCACGAUAAAGACCCUUCAAAUAAUCCCCCCCCCCCCUAAAUGCUUCCUACGACCCUAAAGUUUAUACUUAUUUUCAUAUGAAGUAAAUUCUGUUUUAUAUAAUCUAAAUUCGUAUUAAAAUCUUUCAAAUAUAUCUGCUGUCAGCCAAACAAUUUUUUUUUCUUGAGGAUGUUCUUAGUGAAAUGUACUCACGACGAUUUCAAAUAGAGCAGUUUUUUAUAUCUGUCUCUUAGAUUUGUUCAUUUUAGGCCCUCGCUGUCUAUUGCUUAGCAACAGUUUUCAAAGAGAUGACAUUACGGUCAUUCUCUACAUCACAAUGGGACAACCAGCCGAUGUUGGUGGGUCAGCGUAACCUGGCGGGUAAGAUGAAAUAAGUGGUCUCUUUGGUUUUUAAUUAACUACCUGCAUAAAAAUUUUGGUAUUUUCUUGAGGGCAAUAACAAGCAAUCAGCUAGUGUGCAAAACCAUAUUAUAGUAGCCCCUUGUAGCACACUCGAAAUUAUUAGAGGUGCAAUGGAAGGAGGGCUCAAGAGGCGUUAUGGCUUAGCCCUGUCUGAUAUUUUGGACGGGGGUAGCUCAACCCCUAAAUUUAGUCAAAUGAAUAUUUGACCUAGCUAAUCUGCAAGUGAACCUGUGAACCAAUCCUUUAUUAUUAUUAUUAUUAUUAUUAUUAUUAUUUUUCAUCUAUUCAUUCAUUUAUUAUUAGAUCAAGUCUCCUGAAGUAGCAGGAACGUCAAAGAAGGAUUAUGGGCAAAUUUGAAUAUAACAACAGAGGGAAAGCGACACCAUAGGGCGGCAUUGGCAUCGAAGCAAUUCAAGUAUCGAUAUUGCAAAAAAUGGGAGAUGUAUUGAAUAUGGGACAAAGAGACUUCACACCUUCGACAUGAAACGUGGCCUGUUCGAUGUAAACAACAUGUGGCUUCAACGGAACAUUGUUGAAUUUUGUGGAUAUUUUUCACUUUAAUUGCGAACAUUUCUGCUGUUUUUUGCAUGUCUUUUCCCCCAACGAAGAAUCGUGGAUUUUCUGAGAAGGAAGAAAUUGCAAUUACCCUCCGCUGCGAUGAAGGACUAGCCCUACAACCUUUGACUACUAACUUGGACUACAUAUUUAUUUCAUUAGGAUAUUGUAAAUAUGACAGUAACCUCAAACGGUAUUUAUUUAACAUUACUUCAAUAAAUUUUGGUCCAACAUUCCUCUCCCCCUAUAUCCAUGUACCUUAGAUGAAACAUAAACCUGUGGGUUGAAUAUUUCCGAAGUGUGCACCUGAUGUUUCAAUUUAAGUCUCAAUCCAAUUUGCAGUCUGGACCGCAGCGAUCAAUAAACCCCUUCCCCUUCCCCACCCCUUCCUAUAACUAUCCAACAAACUGAUUGCGUUAAAGUUUUAUUAACCAUACUUCUAUCGCAGACAAAACUGUAGCUCCGAACCCACGUCCCAUUUGUUUCAAUGUCUUAAACCUUAACCCCUAUAUCUGAUACAUCCUUAAAUUUUAUCAUUUUCCGAUACGUUAAUUUGAACAUAGAUCAACAAUCGUAUCACAGAUAUGCCUCGAUUUUAUUUCUAUUAUCAAUUUAAUUCUAUUGAAUAAACCCCUGAUUUUGCAUUGUAUUUUUACUAGAAGUUUUUACAUCAACCCUACUUUUCAUUUUAUGUCAAUUCUAUUUGACUGAGCAGAAUUUCCCACUGUCGUUUUCGUUUUAAUUCUAUCGAAGUUGCCGUCGCUUGUCCUUAUCCUUUUUUAUUAAACUCUAUCAAAUUUGUCCCCGAGUUCCCUUUUACCGUAUCAAGUUCUUUUGAAUUUACGCUCGAUUUUCCAUUGUAUUUUUACUUAAAAUCUAUUGGAUUUACCCCCAACUUUCCGUUCUAUUUUGGAUUUAAAUCUAUUGAAUUUACCCCUAAUUUUCAUUGUAUUCUUGAGUUAAAUCUAUUGAAUUUACCCCCGACUUUCCAUUGUUUUUU
Molecule: non-coding RNA, 5416 nt
Organism: Rhopilema esculentum
Lineage: Eukaryota; Metazoa; Cnidaria; Scyphozoa; Rhizostomeae; Rhizostomatidae
Source: RefSeq, a predicted model, not a curated record